UCUCUAGUGCUGAUGCUGAAUAACCACAUAAUCAUGCAUUUGCAGAGUGGCAUUUUCUACCAAAUGCAAGAAUUGAAUUAGAUAAGAGAAAUUUAUUGAGUUUCCUUAUUUUAAAACUCUUCAAAACUCACAAAGAGCACUUUUUCUAAUCACUACAUUGAAUAGCAUUAAUUUGGAGACAUGAUGUGGAGCAUGGAUGUACAGCUGGAAUCCACGACUGUCCAUUCAUAGAUACACAAAAUGGAGAUGUAUACAAAGAGAUUACCAUAAAAUAUUUGAGAGA
RNAcentral lists this long non-coding RNA (283 nucleotides) under Monodelphis domestica (gray short-tailed opossum). RNAcentral's name for it is "lncRNA (ENSMODG00000050193.1)". The record is from RNAcentral. Lineage: Eukaryota; Metazoa; Chordata; Mammalia; Didelphimorphia; Didelphidae.